AAGUAGGGACAGGGGUUUCUGUCGGCCUCCAGCCGUUAAAGCUUGUUGUAGGCCGACGGAAACUACUUGCCUCUACUU
This 78-nucleotide microRNA precursor is filed under the name Folsomia candida. RNAcentral's name for it is "mir-2796 microRNA precursor family". It matches the Rfam family "mir-2796 microRNA precursor family". Lineage: Eukaryota; Metazoa; Arthropoda; Collembola; Entomobryomorpha; Isotomidae. The record is from Rfam by way of RNAcentral.